This 501-nucleotide ribosomal RNA is filed under the name Klebsiella pneumoniae. RNAcentral's name for it is "bacterial SSU rRNA". It matches the Rfam family "Bacterial small subunit ribosomal RNA", at positions 829 to 1330 of the family's 1533-position model. The record is from RNAcentral. Lineage: Bacteria; Pseudomonadati; Pseudomonadota; Gammaproteobacteria; Enterobacterales; Enterobacteriaceae.
CCCUUGAGGCGUGGCUUCCGGAGCUAACGCGUUAAAUCGACCGCCUGGGGAGUACGGCCGCAAGGUUAAAACUCAAAUGAAUUGACGGGGGCCCGCACAAGCGGUGGAGCAUGUGGUUUAAUUCGAUGCAACGCGAAGAACCUUACCUGGUCUUGACAUCCACAGAACUUUCCAGAGAUGGAUUGGUGCCUUCGGGAACUGUGAGACAGGUGCUGCAUGGCUGUCGUCAGCUCGUGUUGCGAAACGCUGGGCUAAGUCCCGCAACGAGCGCAACCCUUAUCCUUUGUUGCCAGCGGUUAGGCCGGGAACUCAAAGGAGACUGCCAGUGAUAAACUGGAGGAAGGUGGGGAUGACGUCAAGUCAUCAUGGCCCUUACGACCAGGGCUACACACGUGCUACAAUGGCAUAUACAAAGAGAAGCGACCUCGCGAGAGCAAGCGGACCUCAUAAAGUAUGUCGUAGUCCGGAUUGGAGUCUGCAACUCGACUCCAUGAAGUCGGA